GACGAACGCUGGCGGCGUGCCUAAUACAUGCAAGUAGAACGCUGAAGGAGGAGCUUGCUUCUCUGGAUGAGUUGCGAACGGGUGAGUAACGCGUAGGUAACCUGCCUGGUAGCGGGGGAUAACUAUUGGAAACGAUAGCUAAUACCGCAUAAUAUUGAUUAUUGCAUGAUAGUCAAUUAAAAGGUGCAAUUGCAUCACUACCAGAUGAACCUGCGUUGUAUUAGCUAGUUGGUGAGGUAACGGCUCACCAAGGCAACGAUACAUAGCCGACCUGAGAGGGUGAUCGGCCACACUGGGACUGAGACACGGCCCAGACUCCUACGGGAGGCAGCAGUAGGGAAUCUUCGGCAAUGGACGGAAGUCUGACCGAGCAACGCCGCGUGAGUGAAGAAGGUUUUCGGAUCGUAAAGCUCUGUUGUAAGAGAAGAACGAGUGUGAGAGUGGAAA
Molecule: ribosomal RNA, 447 nt
Filed under: Streptococcus sp. oral taxon 058
Lineage: Bacteria; Bacillati; Bacillota; Bacilli; Lactobacillales; Streptococcaceae
Description: bacterial SSU rRNA
Rfam family: Bacterial small subunit ribosomal RNA
Source: RNAcentral